Molecule: non-coding RNA, 31 nt
Filed under: Rattus norvegicus (Norway rat)
Lineage: Eukaryota; Metazoa; Chordata; Mammalia; Rodentia; Muridae
Source: RNAcentral
UGUAAAUCGUCAGAAUUCAUUACAUUGAUGU